UGGGGGAUAUUGCACAAUGGGCGAAAGCCUGAUGCAGCGACGCCGCGUGGGGGAUGAAGGCUUUCGGGUUGUAAACCUCUUUCGCUAUCGAACAAGGCCCGCUUAGGGUGGGUUGAGGGUAGGUGGAGAAGAAGCGCCGGCUAACUACGUGCCAGCAGCCGCGAUAAUACGUAGGGCGCGAGCGUUGUCCGGAAUUAUUGGGCGUAAAGGGCUUGUAGGCGGCUUGUUGCGCCUGCUGUGAAAACGCGGGGCUUAACUUCGCGCGUGCAGUGGGUACGGGCAGGCUUGAGUGUUGUAGUGGUGACUGGAAUUCCAGGUGUAGCGGUGGAAUGCGCAGAUAUCUGGAGGAACACCGAUGGCGAAGGCAGGUCACUGGGCCAUUACUGACGCUGAGGAGCGAAAGCAUGGGUAGCGAACAGG
RNAcentral lists this ribosomal RNA (420 nucleotides) under bacterium. RNAcentral describes it as "partial 16S ribosomal RNA". It matches the Rfam family "Bacterial small subunit ribosomal RNA", at positions 355 to 776 of the family's 1533-position model. The record is from RNAcentral.